GGGGAUUUAGCUCAGUGGUAGAGCACUUGCCUAGCAAGCACAAGACCCUGGGUUCGGUCCCCAGCUCCA
Non-coding RNA from Rattus norvegicus (Norway rat), 69 nucleotides. NCBI's taxonomy places the organism in Eukaryota, Metazoa, Chordata, Mammalia, Rodentia, Muridae. The record is from Rfam.